Molecule: ribosomal RNA, 448 nt
Filed under: uncultured bacterium
Lineage: Bacteria
Description: partial 16S ribosomal RNA
Rfam family: Bacterial small subunit ribosomal RNA
Source: RNAcentral
UCCAGACUCCUACGGGAGGCAGCAGUGGGGGAUAUUGCACAAUGGGGGGAACCCUGAUGCAGCGACGCCGCGUGGGUGAAGGAGCGUUUCGGCGCGUAAAGCCCUCUCGGCAGGGAAGAAGGAGGACGGUACCUGACUAAGAAGCCCCGGCUAACUACGUGCCAGCAGCCGCGGUAAUACGUAGGGGGCAAGCGUUAUCCGGAUUUACUGGGUGUAAAGGGGGCGCAGACGGCAGCGCAAGCCAGGAGUGAAAGCCCGGGGCCCAACCCCGGGACUGCUCUUGGAACUGCGCGGCUGGAGUGCAGGAGGGGCAGACGGAAUUCCUGGUGUAGCGGUGAAAUGCGUAGAUAUCAGGAGGAACACCGGUGGCGAAGGCGGCCUGCUGGACUGCGACUGACGUUGAGGCCCGAAAGCGUGGGGAGCAAACAGGAUUAGAUACCCCCGUAAG